GUUAAAAGCUAGGGCUAGGACUUGGAGGUUGUGUAGGCAAACGGAAGGAGAGCCGGGGGAAGAAAAACCGAAAUGGAUUCGUUCUCUGUCCUGGAUGGAGGAGGAGAGGAGAGGAGAGGAGAAGGGGACGUGCGAGCUUCCUCCAACUGCCUCCGGCCGGAGAAAAGUGCCCGGACCCCCGGGGUGCGCGGGGCUCGGGACCCGCGCGGACUUUCGCUUUCGGCUGCCAAUCAAGCCGCUAACGAGCCACCACCCUGCGCUGGCAACGGCAC
This is a non-coding RNA of Egretta garzetta (little egret), 272 nucleotides long. Lineage: Eukaryota; Metazoa; Chordata; Aves; Pelecaniformes; Ardeidae. The record is from Rfam.